Molecule: long non-coding RNA, 2595 nt
Organism: Crotalus tigris (Tiger rattlesnake)
Lineage: Eukaryota; Metazoa; Chordata; Lepidosauria; Squamata; Viperidae
Exons: 4
Source: RefSeq, a predicted model, not a curated record
UGAUGCUCUUAAUUGAAUUAAGACAUCAGUGACGGUGGUCAGCAUAGACAGAUGGCUCAACGCCAUAAAAAUGGGCUUAUUUCCACAUUGAAUCCUGGCUAAGGUGGAGAAUUUAAGGUGAGCUUCUUUUCAAGGAGAACAUUUGGAAUUCUCCCAAGCUGAUAUGCUCCAGAUAUAUGGGAAAUAAAGCUUCAAGAAUUUCAAGAUGACCCUAAUGGUGAAGAUUAACCCCCCAAGUGGCUUCAAUGACUCUCAGAGAGAAUGCUGAUGACCAGAUGACUGCAAGGAAUAUAAAUCCUUCCAUUCUCCACCAUUUUGCCAGAACUGAAGAACCUUUUUGGAUGAGAUGUGAAACAUCUUCAAAGAAGAACAAAGAAAGUCCAAUUGCCUUUUGAAAAAGUACUUCUGGGACAAUCAUGACCAGGGUAACUGAGAAUCUUCAUAGACACUAAACAUUUGUUAUGAAAUACAGGUGCCAGCAUUGUGUGGACAGAUCUGGACUUCUUACAGGAAUAAGAAACUUGGUUUCUUGAGAGAAUUGAAAAGGUCACAUUUUUCAUUAAAAGAUCUCCUUCUCCCAGAUGCAAAUUGGGGCAAUGUUGAUCUUGUCAAGCUGCUCAAAUACAUCACCCAUUGUAACUUGACUUCCAGCUAGUGCCAUAAAUCUGCAUUUAAAUUCUAGUCCAGCCAAUCAAACUGACACAGUUGUUUUCUAUGAUAAGCUAAGGAACACGUACAAUUUCAAAUUUAUAAAGUCUUGGUUUACAAGUCUCUCUGACAUGCCCUGGAUUUACUUGAAAGCAGAUGACAUGAUACACAACCUCGCCUUUCCCUCCCAUGUCUUCCAAAAUAGCAAUUUGCCCUUUCAGGACCUGCCAUCCCUAUCCCCGCUCUGCUGAUUAAACAAGGGGAGUCUCAGAUAAUGAUGUUUCAUUCACUUGGAUUGGCAGCAGCACAAAGAACCAAAAUUAAAAUAAACUCCUGCUUCCAGAUGUAUCUGGGACAAAUUGCCAGUGAUGGAGAGGAAAAAUAAUAAUAAAGUCUGCAAUACAGACUGGCUAACAUAUUCAGUGAUCUACUAGAAGAAGUGACUACUAUCUAUAACAACCUAUUUGAAAAGCAGAUUUUGAAGCAGGAUUAUUGGAUUACACUCGUGUAUCAUCACUGGAGAUAGUUCUUCCCUGCUUCUGUGAAAGACAGUGAAAGCGAAAGUGUCAGAAAAAGUUGCUGUUGGAAAGAUGCAAGAUUGCUUCAUGCUUCUUCUCUGGACUCAGCAAGAUUAUUUCUUCAAUAUAGUAUUGGAGAAAAAUCAACUAUUUCUAUGAAACCAUCCAAGUGUGUUCACCCUCUGGGGAAGAAGAAAUGAGUUCUAUUAAUCUGAUGCUCAGAUCUCUCUUCCCAUUUUCACCUGGGAUUCCAAGUCCAGGAAAGAAAUGAUUGGUAUACCAGGUACACCUGUACAGAGAUCUUCCUGGCUCCAGAGGCAACUGGACUAUUGAGGAGGCAACUGGACUUUGGUGACCAUAACCUGGAUGAGAAUCUCCAUGGACACAGGCAAGCCAGGAAUAGUCUUGCAUGCAUAGAGGUAGUCCUUGAGUUAGGACAGGAAUUUCCAACAUAAGUCAUUGCGGACGUAUGUUGAGUCACACUUGAUUUUAUGACAAUUUUAUGGUGGUUGUUCAGUGAAUCCAGCUUCCCAAUGGGUGGUUUUUGCUGGAAAUCAACAACAAAGUUUGCAAAUCGCAAUCACUUGACUGCAGGAGACUGCAACUGGUUGUAAAUGCAAGCCUACUGACAAAAACCCAAAUUGUGAUCAUGUGACUAAGGGAUGGUACCACAGUCGUUAAGAAAUUAUACAUCACUUUUCCGAAGCCAUCCUAACUUCAAACUGUUGUUACACAAUGACAAGUUGAGGACUACCUGUAUAUCCUGUGAGGUAAGGAUGGAAAAAUUUCUGACACCACAGGUAUCAUGAAUUUACAAUCACUAUCUCUUGUCAGGGUUGAAUCUCAGCUGCUCCUGCCCAUCCAGCUUUCCACAGCAUCACUGGAGUGAUCCAUCCAAGGAACUGAAAGCAUCAACCUACAGUUAAGAAAAGUUCUGUUUGUGACCAAGAGUUGAGACUGACUCAAAGACAAAGUAAUUAUCUCUACAAAGACAAAGUAAUUAUCCUCCAUGUUGAGGGAGGAUAUCACUCUCUAGCUUCAUGAAGAUAUGGAAAAGGAGGGGUGAGAAGAUAUGAAACAGGAGUGGACUUCAGGUUCAACAUUCUCCCACUUAUCAGCCAUCUGGAAUGGAGAAAGAGAGAAUCACUAUAAGAUGAUGUCUCCACUCCUAAUUCCCACAGCCAGUCCAAAGAAUAACCUGAUGGCACUGAAAAUUGCUGAGAGAUUAAGGAGAACCAGAGAUUAAGAAUAAGCAGAAUGGUGGCACCACCCCAAUCCCAUCAUGUCUCUAUACCAUCUCCUGGCUUGACACUGACUGAAAUGGGUCUAGAUCAAGGGUAGGCAACCUUCGCUCUUUUAUGACUCGUGGACUUCAACUCCCAGAAUUCCUGAGCCAGCAUGGCUCAGCUUGGAAACCUCUCCCUUUCCC